This 1469-nucleotide long non-coding RNA is filed under the name Equus caballus (horse). RNAcentral's name for it is "lncRNA (ENSECAG00000051661.1)". Lineage: Eukaryota; Metazoa; Chordata; Mammalia; Perissodactyla; Equidae. The record is from RNAcentral.
GAAGAAGGGUCAGAGUCAGAGAUUUGAAGAUGCUACAGCUGGUGGCUUUUAAGGUGGAGGAAAGGGCCUCGGACCAAGGAAUGCCGGCCUGUUGUUGUAGUUAGUGCCCCCUAGUCAAUUCUGACUCCUAGUGACCCUGUGUACAGCAGAGCUGAAGCCUGCAUGGUCUUUUUGUGCCAUCCCUCUCACCUUCCAGCUCUAUAUCAGACAAUGUUCUGCUGCUAUCCAUAAGGUUUUCAUGGCCACUUUUUUCAAACGUGGGUGGCCAGGUCCUUCUUCCUACUCUAGCUCAGUCUAGAAACUCAACUGAAAUCUGAAACCUGUACUGGUAGCAUAGCUUUCAGCAACACACGGCUGCCACAGUAUGACAGCCCACAGAUGAGUAGUGUGACUCCCUGACUGGGAAAUGAAAACCCAGCUGUGGCGAUGAGACUGCUGAAUCUUAACCACCAGACCAUUAGGACUGGCAGGCAACCUGUAGAAGCUGGAAAAUGCAAGGAAACUGAUUCUCCUGUAGAGCCUCCAGAAGGAAUUCCACCUGGCUGACACCUUGAUUUUAGCCCAGGAAGACCCAUUCCGGCUUUCUGACCUCCACAACUGCGAGAAGAUAAACAGGAAACUGAGGCUCAAUGAAGAGAAGUGAUUUGCACAAGGUCAACUAAUAAAGCAUUAUGUGUCACUUCCAACUUUAAAGAGAAAUAGAAGCCACCAGGCAGUGCACAUCAGACUUCACUACUGGAUUGCAGAUGACUGUUGUCACCUUGAGAAACUAUUAAAUUAAUCAAUUUCUCCCCAAGGCUAGUGAACUUGGGCAAGAAGAAUGAGAAGAAAAAGAAAAGAAAUGAUGCAGGGAGACUGUCAAGCAAACCACCUCGUUCAUACAUUUUGCUAAGUUUGAUCAUCAACCUAUUACACAUAUCGUGGUUCCAUUUGGAGUAAAGAAGGGUCAUGUGGUAGGGUGAAAGAGAGGAGGGGAAUACUCUUCACCAUUAGUCUUUAUAUUUACCUAAUGCAAGCAGGGAGAGAUCCUGCAAUUUUUCAUAUUUCUUUUCUUAUGCCAUUGUUACGUCCCAUGCCUUGUCAUUUUUUGAGACUUAUGGGAGUGAAAUAAGACUAAAUAAAUUGUCUUCUAUAUUCCAUUCCCUACUUUUCAAAAAUCAGGAUCCCGUUAUUGAAAUACUAUCCAAUAGAGUGAUUCUAGAGUCUGCUUUUUGUAGUUUUACCAACGCUCAUUGCUGGGAAAUUCUUUUUUUGUCCAUCUUUAUUGCUUUCCUAUGACACUAGAUAGAAGCAUCAUAAAGCUUAACCAUUAUUGAUUUAUCUGAUAUAAAAUAAGAGUUGAAGUGUUCCCCCAAAUUUUGUCAAAAAGUCGUAUCUGCAUUCUUGCAAAGUAACACUGUCAGAAAUCACAUUCAGGUGUUCCACAUAGUGACUGCUGUUGUUGCUACCAUACUGUAUGCCUGCGUGUU